AGCUCCUGCUGCAUGGUGGGGGUUGGAAAGUUUCGGCGGUUGGGGAUGGACUCGCGGCUUAUCAGCUUGUUGGUGGGGUAGUGGCUUACCAAGGCUUUGACGGGUAGCCGGCCUGAGAGGGUGACCGGCCACAUUGGGACUGAGAUACGGCCCAGACUCCUACGGGAGGCAGCAGUGGGGAAUAUUGCACAAUGGGCGGAAGCCUGAUGCAGCAACGCCGCGUGCGGGAUGACGGCCUUCGGGUUGUAAACCGCUUUCGCCUGUGACGAAGCGUGAGUGACGGUAAUGGGUAAAGAAGCACCGGCUAACUACGUGCCAGCAGCCGCGGUGAUACGUAGGGUGCGAGCGUUGUCCGGAUUUAUUGGGCGUAAAGGGCUCGUAGGUGGUUGAUCGCGUCGGAAGUGUAAUCUAGGGGCUUAACCCUGAGCGUGCUUUCGAUACGGGUUGACUUGAGGAAGGUAAGGGAGAAUGGAAUUCCUGUUUGAUCGGUGGAAUGCGCAUAUAUCAGGAGGAACACCAGUGGCGAAGGCGGUUCUCUGGGCCUUUCCUGACGCUGAGGAGCGUAAGCGUGGGGAUCGUACAGGCUUAGAUACCCUGGUAGUCCACGCUGUAAACGGUGGGUACUAGGUGUGGGGUCCAUUCCACGGGUUCCGUGCCGUAGCUAACGCUUUAAGUACCCCGCCUGGGGAGUACGGCCGCAAGGCUAAAACUCAAAGGAAUUGACGGGGCCCCGCACAAGCGGCGGAGCAUGCGGAUUAAUUCGAUGCAACGCGUAGAACCUUACCUGGGUUUGACAUGGAUCGGG
RNAcentral lists this ribosomal RNA (805 nucleotides) under uncultured bacterium. RNAcentral's name for it is "bacterial SSU rRNA". It matches the Rfam family "Bacterial small subunit ribosomal RNA", at positions 173 to 995 of the family's 1533-position model. The record is from RNAcentral.